GUCUACGGCCAUGCCACCCUGAACAAGCCCGAUCUCAUCUGAUCACAGAAGCUAAGCAGGGUCAGGCCUGGUUAGUACUUGGAUGGGAGACCACCUAGGAAGACCAGGUGCUGUAGGCA
This 119-nucleotide ribosomal RNA is filed under the name Pteropus alecto (black flying fox). The record is from RNAcentral. Lineage: Eukaryota; Metazoa; Chordata; Mammalia; Chiroptera; Pteropodidae.